RNAcentral lists this ribosomal RNA (253 nucleotides) under uncultured bacterium. RNAcentral's name for it is "partial 16S ribosomal RNA". It matches the Rfam family "Bacterial small subunit ribosomal RNA", at positions 524 to 776 of the family's 1533-position model. The record is from RNAcentral.
UACGUAGGGCGCGAGCGUUGUCCGGAAUUAUUGGGCGUAAAGAGCUCGUAGGCGGCCUGUUGCGUCCGCUGUGAAAUCCCAGGGCUCAACCCUGGAACUGCCUUUGAUACUGACGAUCUGGAGAUCGGGAGAGGUGAGUGGAAUUCCGAGUGUAGAGGUGAAAUUCGUAGAUAUUCGGAGGAACACCAGAAGCGAAGGCGGCUCACUGGCCCGAUACUGACGCUGAGGCGCGAAAGCGUGGGGAGCAAACAGG